UACAGAGGUGGCGAGCGUUGUUCGGAUUUACUGGGCGUAAAGGGCGCGUAGGAGGCCCCGUUAGCCGACCGUGAAAUCUCCGGGCUCAACCCGGAAAGUGCGGUCGGGACUGCGGGGCUGGAGCAGGGGAAGGGAAAGCGGAACUCAGGGUGUAGCGGUGAAAUGCGUUGAUAUCCUGAAGAACACCGGUGGCGAAGGCGGCUUUCUGGAACCUGGCUGACUCUGAGGCGCGAAAGUAGGGGGAGCAAAC
This 250-nucleotide ribosomal RNA is filed under the name uncultured prokaryote. Its description in RNAcentral is "partial 16S ribosomal RNA". It matches the Rfam family "Bacterial small subunit ribosomal RNA", at positions 524 to 773 of the family's 1533-position model. The record is from RNAcentral.